RNAcentral lists this ribosomal RNA (483 nucleotides) under uncultured bacterium. RNAcentral describes it as "partial 16S ribosomal RNA". It matches the Rfam family "Bacterial small subunit ribosomal RNA", at positions 28 to 507 of the family's 1533-position model. The record is from RNAcentral.
GACGAACGCUGGCGGCGUGCCUAACACAUGCAAGUCGAGCGGGGAUUUAAGUGGAAGUUCUUCGGAAUGGAGGUUUAAAUUCUAGCGGCGGACGGGUGAGUAACGCCUGAACAAUCUGUCCCGGACAGGGGGAUAACACUUCGCAACAAGUGCUAAUACCGCAUAAGACCACGCCCUCGCAUGGGGCUGCGGUCAAAGGAGCAAUCCGGUUCGGCGUGAGGUCGCGUCCGCUUAGCUAGUUGGCGAGGUAACGGCCCACCAAGGCGACGCUCGGUAGCCGGCCGGAGAGGGGGAACGGCCACAUUGGAAAUGGGAGACGGUAGAAACGACUACGGGAGGCAGGAGGGGGGAAUAUUGGACAAUGGGCGAAAGGCUGACCCAGCAACGCCGCGUGAGAGAAGAAGGUUUUGGGAUAGAAAACCUCUGUCCUAUGGGACGAAGGAAGUGACGGUACCAAAGGAGGAAGCCCCGGCUAACUACGUG